GAUGAACGCUGGCGGCGUGCCUAAUACAUGCAAGUCGAGCGAACAGACGAGGAGCUUGCUCCUCUGACGUUAGCGGCGGACGGGUGAGUAACACGUGGAUAACCUACCUCUAAGACUGGGAUAACUUCGGGAAACCGGAGCUAAUACCGGAUAAUAUAUUGAACCGGAUGGUUCAAUAGUGAAAGACGGUUUUGCUGUCACUUAUAGCUGGAUCCGCGCCGCAUUAGCUAGUUGGUAAGGUAACGGCCUACCAAGGCGACGAUGCGUAGCCGGCCUGAGAGGGUGAUCGGCCACACUGGAACUGAGACACGGUCCAGACUCCUACGGGAGGCAGCAGUAGGGAAUCUUCCGCAAUGGGCGAAAGCCUGACGGAGCAACGCCGCGUGAGUGAUGAAGGUCUUCGGAUCGUAAAACUCUGUUAUUAGGGAAGAACAAAUGUGUAAGUAACUAUGCACGUCUUGACGGUACCUAAUCAGAAAGCCACGGCUAACUACGUG
Molecule: ribosomal RNA, 497 nt
Filed under: uncultured bacterium
Lineage: Bacteria
Description: partial 16S ribosomal RNA
Rfam family: Bacterial small subunit ribosomal RNA
Source: RNAcentral